GGUCACCUCUGUCCAGAGAAAUAAAAGAGACCAAAAAGGGACCUAAACCUAAAUCCCCAGCUUCUCCUUUUAGCGACAGCAACCAAUCUACUCGGAGGGAGAUGACUAGUGAAGCUAAACCAACGUGAAGGUGGAUCGCGGUGGUGCGAUUGGCGGAUGGAAUCGUGCCGCUCAUAACUGUGUUUCUGAAACUGUGGGUUUGUGACAACCCGACCCAAGAGAAGGUGGCCCACGUCUAGAAGGAGUCUGGCAGCGGCGGCGUCGCCAUUCAUGACUCUGGUGGUGACAAAAAAGAACACGCACUGGACAGAGAAGAGCAAUGUCCUUGACGACUCCGAUGGUAAAGGAAAAAGAGGAUAUGGUGGUUCAUGGCUUAUGUGUACGUCUCCGGUGAAGCCGAAGGCUCCUGCCGGCGGUGAGUUCCCAACGAAGGCAGGUUGCGUUUGGCCUAUUGAUGGUAGCGAUCCAUGGCACCAAUGAUUUUUAUUUACCGGGCACAGAGACACAAUCUCAUAUUAGUGUAGGUUAAUGUUCUUUGUUUAUGAUUUGUGUUGAAGCUGAAUGUAUAUUUGAAAGUUGUUUUGCCCAAAAUGCUUAUGCACGGGUAGUGAUGCUAACCUGGCGACCACGGCUUGAUCUAGCUAGUUUCUUUGCUUUUUCCUUUUGAGUAUUUUUACUAUCUUAAGCAACCUUCGGGGUAUGUUAGCUUCUGUUUUUGGGAUAAUCUGUACCCAAUGCUGAAAUCCCCUUCUUCUAGACUGGUUUGGAUGGUUUAGACACCUACUUGAUUUUGUGUGCUUAACUUUGCACUAAUUUUGUAUUCACUGUUGCCAAUAUCCUUUCCCUUUUCUCUCUUGUUCUCUUAUUUUCUCCCAUUUUUCCGUGCCCCCUUUACUUAAAGCCAAGAACCCACAAAAGAAAAACUUAUUU
Molecule: long non-coding RNA, 930 nt
Filed under: Lupinus angustifolius (narrow-leaved blue lupine)
Lineage: Eukaryota; Viridiplantae; Streptophyta; Magnoliopsida; Fabales; Fabaceae
Description: long non-coding RNA (LANG_LNC003617)
Source: RNAcentral